Molecule: ribosomal RNA, 255 nt
Filed under: uncultured bacterium
Lineage: Bacteria
Description: partial 16S ribosomal RNA
Rfam family: Bacterial small subunit ribosomal RNA
Source: RNAcentral
UACGGGGGGAGCAAGCGUUGUUCGGAUUUACUGGGCGUAGAGGGCGCGUAGGCGGCCUCUGCAAGUCGACUGUGAAAUCUCCGGGCUUAACCCGGAAAGGUCAGCCGAUACUGCAGGGCUAGAGUGCAGAAGGGGCAACUGGAAUUCUCGGUGUAGCGGUGAAAUGCGUAGAUAUCGAGAGGAACACCUGCGGCGAAGGCGGGUUGCUGGGCUGACACUGACGCUGACAGCGCGAAAGCUAGGGGAGCGAACGGG